Molecule: long non-coding RNA, 444 nt
Organism: Piliocolobus tephrosceles (Ugandan red Colobus)
Lineage: Eukaryota; Metazoa; Chordata; Mammalia; Primates; Cercopithecidae
Exons: 2
Source: RefSeq, a predicted model, not a curated record
UCCACUGCAGGACAGACAGACAGAGAAUAGGAAUAUACAGCUGAAAUGUGGGCAACUCUCCUGUCAGCUGAAGAGAUGGGCACUUUGUACUUCUCUAUCCACGUGGGAAAAGACCCCAUCCCAUAGCUUCCAAGUCUACAACAUCCAACAUCCCUGUUCAAGGGGAACAACCCAACUUAACCAGACUCCCUUUGCCCCGUUUCUGAAACACUUCAAGAAAACAUACAAUGGGUUGACUUGGUGCCAUCCUUGGUCCCAUUGCUGUGACACGUUGUGCAAGCAAAGCAUCAGAGGCUCAACCCUGUCUGUGGGAGCUCAGUGCUCAGAAAACAGGGGGGAGGUUUUACCUUGGAAAUUGGCCAAACUCCAAAAUAGGUCUUUUACACAUGCUGCUCUUUUUUUCUCUUUUUCAAAAAGAACCAAAAAAUAAAUAAAACACCACCA